This 303-nucleotide ribosomal RNA is filed under the name uncultured bacterium. RNAcentral describes it as "partial 16S ribosomal RNA". It matches the Rfam family "Bacterial small subunit ribosomal RNA", at positions 507 to 807 of the family's 1533-position model. The record is from RNAcentral.
AGCAGUCGCCGCGGUAAAACGGAGGGUGCAAGCGUUAUCCGGAUUUAUUGGGUUUAAAGGGUCCGUAGGCGGAUCUGUAAGUCAGUGGUGAAAUCUCACAGCUUAACUGUGAAACUGCCAUUGAUACUGCAGGUCUUGAGUAAAUUUGAAGUGGCUGGAAUAAGUAGUGUAGCGGUGAAAUGCAUAGAUAUUACUUAGAACACCAAUUGCGAAGGCAGGUCACUAAGAUUUAACUGACGCUGAUGGACGAAAGCGUGGGGAGCGAACAGGAUUAGAUACCCCGGUAGUCCCUGUCUCUUAUAC